UACGGGGGGGGCAAGCGUUGUUCGGAAUUACUGGGCGUAAAGGGCUCGUAGGUGGCCCACUAAGUCGGACGUGAAAUCCCUCAGCUUAACUGGGGAACUGCGUCCGAUACUGGAUGGCUUGAGUUUGGGAGAGGGAUGCGGAAUUCCAGGUGUAGCGGUGAAAUGCGUAGAUAUCUGGAGGAACACCGGUGGCGAAGGCGGCAUCCUGGACCAACACUGACACUGAGGAGCGAAAGCCAGGGGAGCAAACGGG
This 253-nucleotide ribosomal RNA is filed under the name uncultured bacterium. Its description in RNAcentral is "partial 16S ribosomal RNA". It matches the Rfam family "Bacterial small subunit ribosomal RNA", at positions 524 to 776 of the family's 1533-position model. The record is from RNAcentral.